GGAAGUUCUGAAUGCUCUGUACUCUAUAGAGGGAGUAUUGAAUGCUCUGUACUCUAUAGAGGGAGUAUUGUGGAGGUUCUGAAUGCUCUGUACUCUAUAGAGGAAGUUCUGAAUGCUCUGUACUCUAUAGAGGAAGUUCUGAAUGCUCUGUACUCUAUAGAGGGAGUAUUGAAUGCUCUGUACUCUAUAGAGGGAGUAUUGAAUGCUCUGUACUCUAUAGAGGGAGUAUUGAGGAAGUUCUGAAUGCUCUGUACUCUAUAGAGGGAGUAUUGAGGAAGUUCUGAAUGCUCUGUACUCUAUAGAGGGAGUAUUGAGGAAGUUCUGAAUGCUCUGUACUCUAUAGAGGGAGUAUUGUGGAAGUUCUGAAUGCUCUGUACUCUAUAGAGGGAGUAUUGAUGAAUGUUCUGAAUGCUCUGUACUCUAUAGAGGGAGUAUUGAGGAAGUUCUGAAUGCUCUGUACUCUAUAGAGGGAGUAUUGUGGAAGUUCUGAAUGCUCUGUACUCUAUAGAGGGAGUAUUGAGGAAGUUCUGAAUGCUCUGUACUCUAUAGAGGGAGUAUUGAAUGCUCUGUACUCUAUAGAGGGAGUAUUGAAUGCUCUGUACUCUAUAGAGGGAGUAUUGUGGAAGUUCUGAAUGCUCUGUACUCUAUAGAGGGAGUAUUGAGGAAGUUCUGAAUGCUCUGUACUCUAUAGAGGGAGUAUUGAAUGCUCUGUACUCUAUAGAGGGAGUAUUGAAUGCUCUGUACUCUAUAGAGGGAGUAUUGAGGAAGUUCUGAAUGCUCUGUACUCUAUAGAGGGAGUAUUGAGGUAGUUCUGAAUGCUCUGUACUCUAUAGAGGGAGUAUUGAAUGCUCUGUACUCUAUAGAGGGAGUAUUGGGGAAGUUCAGCAUUACAUCCUCAUUGAAAUUUAAAGGCAAUGUUUCAGCGUAGGCCGGAGACUGCAUUCACGAUAAACGCUGCUCAACGGGGAAUUCCCAUUUUAAAAUUCCUAGCUCGCAAUCUGUGAGGCUUCAGCGGAUUGAUUAGAGCUCUUUAUUUUCAUACAGUUUAAUCAGCUUGUUGUGUAUCAGCUCUUGCUUUUGACUUUUUAGCCA
Molecule: long non-coding RNA, 1092 nt
Filed under: Oncorhynchus mykiss (rainbow trout)
Lineage: Eukaryota; Metazoa; Chordata; Actinopteri; Salmoniformes; Salmonidae
Description: lncRNA (ENSOMYG00000077169.1)
Source: RNAcentral